Molecule: unclassified non-coding RNA, 306 nt
Filed under: uncultured Agaricales
Lineage: Eukaryota; Fungi; Basidiomycota; Agaricomycetes; Agaricales
Description: sequence contains ITS2
Rfam family: 5.8S ribosomal RNA (bases 1-52)
Source: RNAcentral
AACGCACCUUGCGCUCCUUGGUAUUCCGAGGAGCAUGCCUGUUUGAGUGUCAUUAAAUUCUCAAUCCUCUCUGGGUUUUUUCUCAGUUAGGAUUGGAUAAUGGGGGCUUUGCUGGCUUGAAUAAGGUCAGCUCUCCUAAAAUACAUUAGCAAGACUCUUGUUGCAGCCUUCUGUAUGGUGUGAUAAUUAUCUACAUCAUAGAUUGCAUGCAGUAAAAAAAUGUCAGGCUUCUAACAGUCCAUUGACUUGGACAAACUAAUUGACAAAUUUGACCUCAAAUCAGGUAGGACUACCCGCUGAACUUAA